Long non-coding RNA from Epinephelus fuscoguttatus (brown-marbled grouper), 1745 nucleotides. RefSeq lists it as uncharacterized. Lineage: Eukaryota; Metazoa; Chordata; Actinopteri; Perciformes; Serranidae. The record is from RefSeq and is a predicted model, not a curated record. The transcript is spliced from 5 exons.
UCUCUCUCCUCCCACCUCUUCACACACACACACACACACACACACACCCCGGAGUCGUUCCCACUCCUUCCUCUCACGCGCGCUUACUAUCCACUUUCACUGGAGACCGACCGCAACGAGCUCUGUUUUAUUCCUUCUUUUUCUUUUGCUUGUCAGUCUUUGCUUUUGGUUAUGCCCUCAUGUAUGGAGGCACCAUCACCCCUACUUUGCGUGGCGCCCCUGAAAAAACGCAGGCCGUGGAUUGUCCCUGCGUUAGACUGAGUGCCACAGAUCUGCUUGUCUUUCCUGUUAACAGUUUUUUCUAUUCUUCUGCAGUGUUUUAUUUUUUUCAGAACUUGACUUCAGUUAAGAAACCCCUUUUUGAAAAUCUUAACUGUAUGCCGAAGCAGGAGCUAAGGGUUGAAGAAAAGGAAAAGAGUGUCCGAUGAAUGGACAGAUGAAGGGGACAGAGGCAAAGAAUGAGGGGAAAAUGGAGAGCAUGGUCUGCGGGAGAAAGCGAGAAAGACAGAGAAAGAGAGAGAGGUAGGAGAAAGAGUACCGGCACUAGCAAGAAAAACAGGAGGGGGAAGAGAAGAGAAGGGGGACCAGUAGGGGAUAGACUUAGGAAGGAGGGACGGCUGGUUAGGAAUUGGCAAAAUCGCGGGAAAAAGGAGAAAAAACAAAACUCCAGAAUGAGAAGAAACUGGACUUCUCGUUAGACUCAGUCUCGUGCUUCGUGGUCAUCUUUGAUUUUUAUUUUUUGACAUGAUUUUUCAUCACUUCUCCGGUCACACUCUCAUUCAUCUGCUGAGCCUCUGAGACAACCUGACAACUUUUUGACAGAAGAGUUUUCUCAGGAAUGUCCUGGUCAACCAGAGAAGCUUCCCAGUGAGGAGUGAGCCAUGGGAAAAAACGAAAACUACACCCCGGUUGUGAGGAUGUGAUCCGGUCCGUUUUGUGCAGACGUGUCAAGACGAAACAUUUCUUGUCGGACUGCAUCGGCAUUGAUAAAAAACAACGAACAGUUUCGGCUGCAUGAACUCAUCUGGAGAGAAUUCCCCAAACUUUCCAGACAUCAUGGAGAGCCAAGAAGAGACAACGCAGUGCUCUGGAGGGGGCAGUGCCUUUUGGCCGGCUUUGUGCGCUGAACACUUAACACGGUUCAAUAAAAAGACAGCCAAGGUUCAUGACCCCGAUGUAUGAUUCACACGGGAUUUUUAAUUGUGUUCACAGGCACUGAAAAUUACAACAUAAAAGACAUGUCGUCACGGGACUGUCAUUGAUGCUUAUUCAUGACCAGACAUUUUAAAGCUCCUCACAGCAACUGGAAAUAUUUAUUGUUAAGAAAAAGAUGUGCAUUUUCACAGGGCUCCAACUAACAAUUAUUUUUUAAUUUACUAAUCAUUCUCUCAAUUAAUAGAUUAAUCAUUUAAUGUUAGAAAAUAGUGAAAAAUCAUAAUUUGCUUGAGCUGAAAGUGACGUAUUCACAUUGCUUGUUUUGUACUAACAGUCCAAAACUCAAAUAUAUUCAGUUUACCAUCAGAUGAGAUGAAUAAAAGCUGAAAAUUGUCACAGAAAAUGUUGGAAAAAUAACCAUAAUUAUUAAUCAAAAAUAGUUGCAGAUUCAUUUUCUGUCAGUCGACUUAAUGAUUAAACACCUGGUUGUUGCAGCUCUACGUUUUCAUAGUUUUUAUGGAUGAGUGAUCUGCACUUUGUUUUGGAUGUUGUGUUUUUAUUAACUGAAAAUAUGACAAUAAAAUUCAAUA